GGGCGAAGCCAGAGGAAACUCUGGUGGA
This 28-nucleotide non-coding RNA is filed under the name Xenopus tropicalis (tropical clawed frog). The record is from RNAcentral. RNAcentral also lists the same sequence under 5 other names. Lineage: Eukaryota; Metazoa; Chordata; Amphibia; Anura; Pipidae.